Molecule: long non-coding RNA, 2870 nt
Organism: Mauremys mutica (yellowpond turtle)
Lineage: Eukaryota; Metazoa; Chordata; Testudines; Geoemydidae
Exons: 3
Source: RefSeq, a predicted model, not a curated record
CAACCUGCCAUGAAGAGGAGAUUGCCAUGAUUAUUUUGUGGCUCAGUCUAUUACUCCUCAAAUGACCGUACAGCAGUGGUGCCUUGGGAUCCUUCAGUGCACAAUAGACUUGGAGCUAUUCCCACAGAGUCCUAAUUAAUGAUUGUUGCUCAACAACGACAGCGUUUGAGUAACUGCACAGGCCAGAAGUGCUGUUACACUUCACUGAAAGCAGCUGUAAGCCAGUAUGCAAAACCAGAGAUCACGGCCUCACCUUGCUGCUGCUGCUGCUGCUGCUGCUGCAGAACUGGUAGCAAAAUGAUAAAUGAGUGUGUGUGGAGUGGGGAGACGCAGAAGAAUUCAGCAGGACUGCAACGUUUCUCAGCUAACGCUGGCUGUCAGAACAGACAAGCUGCCUCUGUAAGGUUAUAUACUUUACAGAAAAAGAAGAAAAAAUGUAAGUGGGUAGUCAUAAAUAGGGAAGGUAGUGGCAAGCAAACAUGCCUGAGCUCAAAUAAAUAAGCUGAUUUGAGUUUAUAUGGGCAGACAUGUACACCUACCUCAAACACUGUACAGGCAAUAGAAGAAAAACACUGUAAUGGUGGGAGACUCAUUAGCUAGGCUAAAGACAUCCAAGUCAAGAAUCUCACCUGCGGUGAAUGUGUACUCUCCAUGUACUUACUCACUCAUAUUCGCCUUUGGCAUGCACCACUGAAGUUCACAGAGCUACAGCAGGGACAAAUUUAGCUGUGGCUCUCCAAUUACAGGAGUCUUGCUAAAUAUACAGGGAUAUAAGGUGUUGUGUUAUGUGAUUUUUUUCCUUUGUUCCCUGGAAAAAAGUCCUUGAACUAAAUGUCUGACUAAAUAUGUUGUACUUUAAAUGCUCCCUAUCAGAAUUAUCUCACAGAGUAUAGCAGAAUUGAAAAUAUAGUAUUGUAUAUUUUUGCUGCUAUUACAAGGAGCAGAAAAAAGGGAUAUUGCCCUACAAACAAACAAUGAUUCAACCCACCUACACAUACUUUCAAAGAAACACUUGAGAAAAGAGAUGGGCCAUGCACAGUGGCUGAAAGGUCAUCAGACUUUGAACAGUGCUUUGUUGUACCAAGCAGGGAACUGAAUUCCAGAGUUGGGGGAAGGCUUCCACUGAGAGUGCUUUGACAUCAGCUGUCAACACACAAAAUAAAUUCUCUUAGUUGGAGUGCCUCACUGGGCCUAAUAUGCAGCGACAGUAAAUAUAGAAGUGGUCUCCCAAGUAGCCAGGCCCUAAGUGAGGUCUCUGUAGAUCAGUAACUUCUUGAAAUGUGCCCCAAAGCCAAAAGAAGCCUUUUGAAAUCCUAGGGAACUGGCAUAGUAUGUUUCCUGCUGCUAAUGCUAUAUAAUUGGCAGUCAUCUGCAAUCUGCAGCCAUAACUUCCAAGUGCUCACCAAGGGUUGUGCCAAGUACAUUGCAAUAAUCCAAUUUAGUUGUGCAUAUCAAUACAGUAAAUAUUUAUUUAUACAUAUUUGCUAACAGGACCUCGUUAUUAAAAAAGGACACUCAGGGGGAAAAAAUCUUGAAUCCAGAAGAGUAAUUGUUUUUGCACCAAAAGAGGAAACACAAUGAAAAACAGAGGUAAAAAGAGGGAUGCAUUUUAAGUAAUUGUAAAGGUGUAAGAAUAGAGGAGAGUAUAAAUAUUCAAUAGCUCUCUUCAAAGAAAUGGAGGUGGAAGCAUAUGUAAAAAAUAUCAAACCAGUCAAUAUUUCCCAGCCAAAGUAUCUGAGUUACUUUUUUUUUCAAAUGUAUUUAAAUUGCUAAGUAGUAACUGGUAUUGCUUCCUUGUCUGGAUGACAGGACAUUUUCCAAAUGCGCGACUUGUAUAACACAGUAGAAGACACAAAGUCAGGCUUCCAAAUGUUCAGAGGAAAUGCAAGAAUCACUUGGGACACAGAGAGGAGAGGGAAUGCCAGUGCAGCAGCGGCCUCUCUCCUGUUGCGGCUCCUACUCCAUCAUCAAUUCCCACCCCUGCUGGAGGGGUAGAUUACAGGAAAACAAGGCCCAGAUCCAUCAAAACCAGGAAGCUACAAACACACGUGAAUUUCUAACCACAUAAGGGAAGUUCUCUCUUGUGUAUAAAGACACUGAAUCUAGCAGCUAUGCCCCAUCUUCUCAACAGCCAGGCGGCUUCCUAAUCUCUCAUAUUUACAUUUUUGAGUAAACCUGUCUCCUUAUCUAGCCUUUUCCUUCCCUUCUGAUUUCUUACUGAAUUCUGUCCUGUCCAUUCCUUCCUACUUUUCAAUCUCCCUCACAUAUAGCCUGUGGUUGUCAAACUAACCUGGCACAAUGAAAAACUCUCUUCUUCUUGUACCUCAAACACAUCAUCUGUGUCUCUUAACAUCUCUCUGGUUGUAUCAUCCAUGCCCCCACCUCAUCCAGGCUCAUCCUUCUGGCUAUCCCAACCACCACCUCUUCUGUAGAAGGCAGGCUCUGAAGUUUGUUCAGUGUAAGGAAGAGAGGGAAUUCUUGAUCCAUUACUAGCACUUUUAUCUCUUUGUUCCUUCUUCUGUGGAUGAAAUGGUGUUUUCAUUGCAAUCCAUUCAAAAAUGGUGUCUUUUUGAUUCCUGUUCACUCAGGAAGGUAGCAAUGUAUGAAGCAUGCAGCGUUACUAGACAGCGGAAUCUUUGCUCUAAAAGCUUCAUGGCCAGAGAAGACAUCCCUGGGUGGUCUUCCUUCUUCAGUUCGCUGCUGAGUCUCUCCCUUCAAAAGCAAGCACAGCAACAUUUAACCACCUAUGCUGGUGAUGGAAAGUCAGGAAAUCAGAUAAAAGAUGAGGCAUAGAGAGUGACCAUUGCCUGCAGUCUCCACUUACUGAGAUGCUUCUCGCUUGUUUCUGCUGAUGUCAAGUGAAAGAAGAA